GGCAACCGAGUUGUAAUUUGGAGACGGGACACUAGAGAGGAGGAAGGCGAUUAAGUGCCUUGGAACAGGCUGCCGUAGAGGGUGAGAGCCCCGUGAAUCGCUGGAGACCGAUCAAUUAGUGCCCGCCGAAGAGUCGAGUUGUUUGGGAAUGCAGCUCUAAGUGGGUGGUAUAUUCCAUCUAAGGCUAAAUAUUAGCGAGAGACCGAUAGCAAACAAGUACAGUGAUGGAAAGAUGAAAAGAACUUUGGAAAGAGAGUGAAAUAGUACGUGAAAUUGUUGAAAGGGAAGGGUAUUUGAUCCGACAUGGUGUUUAGCAGCGGCCCGUUCCUCGUGGAUGGGUGCACCUGGUUUACACUGGGCCAGCAUCGGUUCUGGGAGCCAUAUACGGGGUUCGUGAAUGUGGCCCUUCGAUUCUGUCGGAGGGUGUUAUAGCGCGGACAUCUUGUGGC
RNAcentral lists this ribosomal RNA (449 nucleotides) under uncultured Dekkera. RNAcentral describes it as "eukaryotic LSU rRNA". It matches the Rfam family "Eukaryotic large subunit ribosomal RNA", at positions 133 to 586 of the family's 3401-position model. The record is from RNAcentral. Lineage: Eukaryota; Fungi; Ascomycota; Saccharomycetes; Saccharomycetales; Saccharomycetaceae.